UACUUCAAAACGUUCAAUCCCACUGACUUGGGUCCCUUCAAUUUAUGUCAGUGUUUUGGUAAUCUUUUAAGUUUCAAUAUAUAUAGAAGCAACAGCUUCCUCUAAAAAGUGUACUCCUUUUUCUCUCUAAAAUUCUCUAUUUGAAAUAAUUUCCCAGCAACUUCGCCACCGACCCUAGCCUUUGGCUUGGGUGCCGGAGGCAUCCUUCCUUCUCUCUCCCUUCUUUGUUUCCUCCUAAGUUUUCUCAGGUUCUCUUAUUUUUUCCUCCCCCUCCCAGCCUCCCUCCUCCUCUUUCUUCACCUUUUCUAGUUUUCUCCCUACCUUUUUAUUUUUCAAUUCUUCCCUGAGGUUAAUCUCAGUUUUCCUUGAGCCGAGUCUCAACUAUCAUGGGCUUCAUGCCCCUUAUCCGGCGUUUUUCACCUGCUUUUACUACUUUCUGUCUUUUAAUUUCUCUUCCUCCCUUUUCAGAUGUGAUACCUCAUCCCCAUACCACCAUGUGCUCGGAUUAACAGGCUCUGAUCACAAAUUGGAUAUCAGAUCCACUUCCCUCCCUCACUUCCCGUCCCCCAACCGGCAUCCUGAACCCCAUCGAGGCCUAGUGUUGGGGGUUCGUGAAUGGGACUUGAAUCUGGUGUCUAUUUUCUCGGUUCGGAGUUUGGUUUCCUCUAAGGAUGUGACGGCAGCGGCGAUAUGGUCUUUGUUGCUGAAGAUUAGGGUUUUUUUAUUGUUUGUUUUCAGCGGCCUUCGGGCCUAAGUUUAUGUGGAUUUCCUGUUGUAUUUUGGGUUGUUACUCUUAUUUUGCUUGGGCUUUUUACUUU
Molecule: long non-coding RNA, 818 nt
Organism: Malus domestica (apple)
Lineage: Eukaryota; Viridiplantae; Streptophyta; Magnoliopsida; Rosales; Rosaceae
Source: RefSeq, a predicted model, not a curated record